Molecule: small RNA, 334 nt
Filed under: Arabidopsis thaliana (thale cress)
Lineage: Eukaryota; Viridiplantae; Streptophyta; Magnoliopsida; Brassicales; Brassicaceae
Description: ATSL114220
Source: RNAcentral
UUUUAUAAAAUAUUUAUAUUUUACAGUUUAUAAUUGUUAUUAAGUAACGCUAUACCACGAAUCCAUGAGACAAUUGUUAAAAUUUUUAAGUUUUAACCCCUAUUAAAACAGCAUAUUAAACAUAUUUCAAAAUUUUAUAAAUAUUGAUUCAAAUACAUCUACCAUAUAACCCAAUUCCAAAAUAAAACCCGUUCUGUAAUUUCUUUACCCGUCCCGUGGUUUUUUUAAAAAUAGUAAUUUUUAAAAUUUAAGAAUUAUUUUUUAUAUAUAAAAGUUUUGCAAAUUGUAUCAUUCUCUAAUACAUUUAUAUUUUAUAGUUUAAUUUUAUAUAUAA